This is a non-coding RNA of Triticum aestivum (bread wheat), 134 nucleotides long. The record is from Rfam. NCBI's taxonomy places the organism in Eukaryota, Viridiplantae, Streptophyta, Magnoliopsida, Poales, Poaceae.
UAUCUACUACCUCCGUCCGAAAAUACUUGUCAUCAAAACAAUAAAAGGAAAUGUAUCUAGAUGUAUAUUAGUUGUAGAUACAUCCUUUUUUAUCCAUUUUGAUGACAAGUAUUUCCGGACGGAGAGAAUACUUG